This 345-nucleotide unclassified non-coding RNA is filed under the name soil metagenome. RNAcentral's name for it is "partial contains 5.8S ribosomal RNA, internal transcribed spacer 2, and large subunit ribosomal RNA". The stretch from base 1 to 120 matches the Rfam family "5.8S ribosomal RNA", at positions 35 to 154 of the family's 154-position model. The record is from RNAcentral.
GAUGAAGAACGCAGCGAAAUGCGAUAAGUAGUGUGAAUUGCAGAAUUCAGUGAAUCAUCGAAUCUUUGAACGCACAUUGCGCCCCUUGGUAUCCCGAGGGGCAUGCCUGUUCGAGCGUCAUUGCUGCCCUCAAGCACGGCUUGUGUGUUGGGCCUCCGUCCUCCUCCCGGGGGACGGGCCCGAAAGGCAGCGGCGGCACCGCGUCCGGUCCUCGAGCGUAUGGGGCUUCGUCACCCGCUCUUGUAGGCCCGGCCGGCGCUUGCCGACACAUCAAUCUUUUUUCCAGGUUGACCUCGGAUCAGGUAGGGAUACCCGCUGAACUUAAGCAUAUCAAUAAGCGGAGGA